AUGGAAGUGACAAGGGACACGACGCAGUCCUGCUCCGGCGGCCUGGCAGCGCUCGCUGCCAGCCUCGCGAGUCGCCUCGCCGACGACAACGCGGACAGCAACCUGGUGUUCUCGCCGCUGUCCAUCUACGCGGCGCUCGCGCUGGCCACCGGCGCCCGGGGCGAUACACUUGACGAGAUCCUCGGCGUCCUCGGCGCGCCGUCUCGCGCCGCGCUCGACGAGUUCCUCUCCCGCGUGGCGGAGGACGCGCUCGAGGACCACUCCGAGUCCGGCGGGCCGCGCGUGGCGUUCGCGUGCGGCGUGUGGACCGACCUCACGUGCCCGCUGAAGCCAGCCUACCGCCACGCCGCCGCGAGCACGUACAAGGCCGAUGCCAGCACCGUCGACUUCCGCAACAAUCCGGAGGCGGCACGGGGUCAGAUCAACGCGUGGGUCGCGCAGCUCACCCGCGCCGUGCUCGGCAACGCUAUAUACUUCAAGGGCAAGUGGGAGAAGCCCUUCCGCAAGAAGCGCACCGCCGACAAACUCUUUCACCGGCUCGACGGCCGCACCGUCGACGUGCCCUUCAUGCAGAGCCGGAGCUCCCAGUUCAUCGCCGUGCACAAAGGGUUUAAGGUGCUGAAACUCCGGUACCAAAUGGCUUAAGCGCAAGGACGGCGCGCCGAUCGUGACAAGCGUGCACAGUUUUCUAUGUGCGUCUUCCUCCCUGAUGCCUUCAACGGCUUGCCGGGCCUGGUCGACGCGAUAGCGUCCCAACCUGGCUUCCGGCACAAGCACCUGCCGAAGGAGAAGAUCCACGUUAGGGAGUUUCGGGUGCCCAAGUUCAAGCUGUCAUUCCACAGGAGCGUGGUCACCAUUAUCAACAAGCUGGGGCUCCGCUUGCCGUUCAGCGACCAAGCCGAUCUAUCUGACAUGGUGGAGGUGCCAUUGGUCCUGAGUGACAUCAUCCACAAGGCGGUCAUCGAGGUAAACGAGGAAGGCACCGAAGCUACAGCCGUCACAUUGGAGGCGAUCGGCGCGGUUGUCUUUGUGGGGCACGUCCUCGACCCCUCAGCCUUAUGA
This 1062-nucleotide ribosomal RNA is filed under the name Triticum aestivum (bread wheat). RNAcentral's name for it is "partial small subunit ribosomal RNA". Lineage: Eukaryota; Viridiplantae; Streptophyta; Magnoliopsida; Poales; Poaceae. The record is from RNAcentral.